AUGUGGUUUAAUUCGUACGCAACGCGCAGAACCUUACCUGGUCUUGACAUCUCGGGAAUCAUUUGGAAACAUAUGAGUGCCUCGCAAGAGGAGCCCGAUGACAGGUGCUGCAUGGCUGUCGUCAGCUCGUGUCGUGGGAUGUUGGGUUAAGUCCCGCAACGAGCGCAACCCUUGUCUUUAGUUGCCAUCAUUAAGUUGGGCACUCUAAAGAGACUGCCGGUGUCAAACCGGAGGAAGGUGGGGAUGACGUCAAGUCCUCAUGGCCUUUAUGACCAGGGCUACACACGUGCUACAAUGGCCGGUACAAAGAGUUGCAAUACCGCGAGGUGGAGCUAAUCUCAUAAAGCCGGUCUCAGUUCGGAUUGGAGUCUGCAACUCGACUCCAUGAAGUUGGAAUCGCUAGUAAUCGCGGAUCAGCACGCCCGCGGUUCCGAAUACGUUCCGGGCCUU
RNAcentral lists this ribosomal RNA (450 nucleotides) under uncultured Desulfocapsa sp. Its description in RNAcentral is "bacterial SSU rRNA". It matches the Rfam family "Bacterial small subunit ribosomal RNA", at positions 939 to 1382 of the family's 1533-position model. Lineage: Bacteria; Pseudomonadati; Thermodesulfobacteriota; Desulfobulbia; Desulfobulbales; Desulfocapsaceae. The record is from RNAcentral.